RNAcentral lists this ribosomal RNA (524 nucleotides) under uncultured bacterium. RNAcentral describes it as "partial 16S ribosomal RNA". It matches the Rfam family "Bacterial small subunit ribosomal RNA", at positions 355 to 895 of the family's 1533-position model. The record is from RNAcentral.
UGGGGAAUAUUGGACAAUGGGCGCAAGCCUGAUCCAGCCAUGCCGCGUGAGUGAUGAAGGCCUUAGGGUUGUAAAGCUCUUUCGCCGACGAAGAUAAUGACGGUAGUCGGAGAAGAAGCCCCGGCUAACUUCGUGCCAGCAGCCGCGGUAAUACGAAGGGGGCUAGCGUUGUUCGGAAUCACUGGGCGUAAAGCGCACGUAGGCGGAUUGUUAAGUCAGGGGUGAAAGCCUGGAGCUCAACUCCAGAACUGCCCUUGAUACUGGCAAUCUCGAGUCCGGAAGAGGUAAGUGGAACUGCGAGUGUAGAGGUGAAAUUCGUAGAUAUUCGCAAGAACACCAGUGGCGAAGGCGACUUACUGGUCCGGUACUGACGCUGAGGUGCGAAAAGCGUGGGGAGCAAAACAGGAUUAGAUACCCUGGUAGUCCACGCCGUAAACGAUGGAGGCUAGCCGUUGGCGAGCAUGCUCGUCAGUGGCGCAGCUAACGCAUUAAGCCUCCCGCCUGGGGAGUACGGUCGCAAGAUU